This 382-nucleotide ribosomal RNA is filed under the name Klebsiella oxytoca. RNAcentral's name for it is "bacterial SSU rRNA". It matches the Rfam family "Bacterial small subunit ribosomal RNA", at positions 1151 to 1532 of the family's 1533-position model. Lineage: Bacteria; Pseudomonadati; Pseudomonadota; Gammaproteobacteria; Enterobacterales; Enterobacteriaceae. The record is from RNAcentral.
GCCAGUGAUAAACUGGAGGAAGGUGGGGAUGACGUCAAGUCAUCAUGGCCCUUACGAGUAGGGCUACACACGUGCUACAAUGGCAUAUACAAAGAGAAGCGACCUCGCGAGAGCAAGCGGACCUCAUAAAGUAUGUCGUAGUCCGGAUUGGAGUCUGCAACUCGACUCCAUGAAGUCGGAAUCGCUAGUAAUCGUGGAUCAGAAUGCCACGGUGAAUACGUUCCCGGGCCUUGUACACACCGCCCGUCACACCAUGGGAGUGGGUUGCAAAAGAAGUAGGUAGCUUAACCUUCGGGAGGGCGCUUACCACUUUGUGAUUCAUGACUGGGGUGAAGUCGUAACAAGGUAACCGUAGGGGAACCUGCGGUUGGAUCACCUCCUU